GAUGAAGAACGUAGCGAAAUGCGAUAAGUAAUGUGAAUUGCAGAAUUUAGUGAAUCAUCGAGUCUUUGAACGCACAUUGCGCCCCCUGGUAUUCCGGGGGGCAUGCCUGUCCGAGCGUCAUUGCUGCCCUCAAGCACGGCUUGUGUGUUGGGCCCCGUCCUCCGAUCCCGGGGGACGGGCCCGAAAGGCAGCGGCGGCACCGCGUCCGGUCCUCGAGCGUAUGGGGCUUUGUCACCCGCUCUGUAGGCCCGGCCGGCGCUUGCCGAUCAACCCAAAUUUUUAUCCAGGUUGACCUCGGAUCAGGUAGGGAUACCCGCUGAACUUAAGCAUAUCAAUAAGCGGAGGA
This 346-nucleotide unclassified non-coding RNA is filed under the name soil metagenome. RNAcentral's name for it is "partial contains 5.8S ribosomal RNA, internal transcribed spacer 2, and large subunit ribosomal RNA". The stretch from base 1 to 120 matches the Rfam family "5.8S ribosomal RNA", at positions 35 to 154 of the family's 154-position model. The record is from RNAcentral.